GGGUUGUGAGGUUAAGCGACUAAGCGUACACGGUGGAUGCCCUGGCAGUCAGAGGCGAUGAAGGACGUGCUAAUCUGCGAAAAGCGUCGGUAAGGUGAUAUGAACCGUUAUAACCGGCGAUGUCCGAAUGGGGAAACCCAGUGCAAUUCGUUGCACUAUCGUUAACUGAAUACAUAGGUUAACGAGGCGAACCGGGGGAACUGAAACAUCUAAGUACCCCGAGGAAAAGAAAUCAACCGAGAUUCCCCCAGUAGCGGCGAGCGAACGGGGAGCAGCCCAGAGUCUGAAUCAGCUUGUGUGUUAGUGGAACGGUCUGGAAAGUCCGACGGUACAGGGUGAUAGUCCCGUACACCAAAAUGCACAGGUUGUGAACUCGAAGAGUAGGGCGGGACACGUGGUAUCCUGUCUGAAUAUGGGGGGACCAUCCUCCAAGGCUAAAUACUCCUGACUGACCGAUAGUGAACCAGUACCGUGAGGGAAAGGCGAAAAGAACCCCGGCGAGGGGAGUGAAAAAGAACCUGAAACCGUGUACGUACAAGCAGUGGGAGCACCUUCGGGUGUGACUGCGUACCUUUUGUAUAAUGGGUCAGCGACUUAUAUUCUGUAGCAAGGUUAACCGUAUAGGGGAGCCGCAGGGAAACCGAGUCUUAACUGGGCGUUAAGUUGCAGGGUAUAGACCCGAAACCCGGUGAUCUAGCCAUGGGCAGGUUGAAGGUUGGGUAACACUAACUGGAGGACCGAACCGACUAAUGUUGAAAAAUUAGCGGAUGACUUGUGGCUGGGGGUGAAAGGCCAAUCAAACCGGGAGAUAGCUGGUUCUCCCCGAAAGCUAUUUAGGUAGCGCCUCGUGAACUCAUCUUCGGGGGUAGAGCACUGUUUCGGCUAGGGGGUCAUCCCGACUUACCAACCCGAUGCAAACUACGAAUACCGAAGAAUGUUAUCACGGGAGACACACGGCGGGUGCUAACGUCCGUCGUGAAGAGGGAAACAACCCAGACCGCCAGCUAAGGUCCCAAAGUCAUGGUUAAGUGGGAAACGAUGUGGGAAGGCACAGACAGCCAGGAUGUUGGCUUAGAAGCAGCCAUCAUUUAAAGAAAGCGUAAUAGCUCACUGGUCGAGUCGGCCUGCGCGGAAGAUGUAACGGGGCUAAACCAUGCACCGAAGCUGCGGCAGCGACACUAUGUGUUGUUGGGUAGGGGAGCGUUCUGUAAGCCUGCGAAGGUGUGCUGUGAGGCAUGCUGGAGGUAUCAGAAGUGCGAAUGCUGACAUAAGUAACGAUAAAGCGGGUGAAAAGCCCGCUCGCCGGAAGACCAAGGGUUCCUGUCCAACGUUAAUCGGGGCAGGGUGAGUCGACCCCUAAGGCGAGGCCGAAAGGCGUAGUCGAUGGGAAACAGGUUAAUAUUCCUGUACUUGGUGUUACUGCGAAGGGGGGACGGAGAAGGCUAUGUUAGCCGGGCGACGGUUGUCCCGGUUUAAGCAUGUAGGCUGGUUGUCCAGGCAAAUCCGGAUAAUCAAGGCUGAGGUGUGAUGACGAGGCACUACGGUGCUGAAGUAACAAAUGCCCUGCUUCCAGGAAAAGCCUCUAAGCAUCAGGUAACAUCAAAUCGUACCCCAAACCGACACAGGUGGUCAGGUAGAGAAUACCAAGGCGCUUGAGAGAACUCGGGUGAAGGAACUAGGCAAAAUGGUGCCGUAACUUCGGGAGAAGGCACGCUGGUGUGUAGGUGAAGCCCCUGCGGGUGGAGCUGAGACCAGUCGAAGAUACCAGCUGGCUGCAACUGUUUAUUAAAAACACAGCACUGUGCAAACACGAAAGUGGACGUAUACGGUGUGACGCCUGCCCGGUGCCGGAAGGUUAAUUGAUGGGGUUAUCCGUAAGGAGAAGCUCUUGAUCGAAGCCCCGGUAAACGGCGGCCGUAACUAUAACGGUCCUAAGGUAGCGAAAUUCCUUGUCGGGUAAGUUCCGACCUGCACGAAUGGCGUAAUGAUGGCCAGGCUGUCUCCACCCGAGACUCAGUGAAAUUGAACUCGCUGUGAAGAUGCAGUGUACCCGCGGCAAGACGGAAAGACCCCGUGAACCUUUACUAUAGCUUGACACUGAACAUUGAGCCUUGAUGUGUAGGAUAGGUGGGAGGCUUUGAAGCGUGGACGCCAGUCUGCGUGGAGCCAACCUUGAAAUACCACCCUUUAAUGUUUGAUGUUCUAACGUUGGCCCCUGACCGGGGUUGCGGACAGUGUCUGGUGGGUAGUUUGACUGGGGCGGUCUCCUCCCAAAGCGUAACGGAGGAGCACGAAGGUUAGCUAAUCCUGGUCGGACAUCAGGAGGUUAGUGCAAUGGCAUAAGCUAGCUUGACUGCGAGCGUGACGGCGCGAGCAGGUGCGAAAGCAGGUCAUAGUGAUCCGGUGGUUCUGAAUGGAAGGGCCAUCGCUCAACGGAUAAAAGGUACUCCGGGGAUAACAGGCUGAUACCGCCCAAGAGUUCAUAUCGACGGCGGUGUUUGGCACCUCGAUGUCGGCUCAUCACAUCCUGGGGCUGAAGUAGGUCCCAAGGGUAUGGCUGUUCGCCAUUUAAAGUGGUACGCGAGCUGGGUUUAGAACGUCGUGAGACAGUUCGGUCCCUAUCUGCCGUGGGCGCUGGAGAAUUGAGGGGGGCUGCUCCUAGUACGAGAGGACCGGAGUGGACGCAUCACUGGUGUUCGGGUUGUCAUGCCAAUGGCACUGCCCGGUAGCUAAAUGCGGAAGAGAUAAGUGCUGAAAGCAUCUAAGCACGAAACUUGCCCCGAGAUGAGUUCUCCCUGAGACUUUAAGUCUCCUGAAGGAACGUU
Molecule: ribosomal RNA, 2825 nt
Filed under: Klebsiella pneumoniae
Lineage: Bacteria; Pseudomonadati; Pseudomonadota; Gammaproteobacteria; Enterobacterales; Enterobacteriaceae
Description: bacterial LSU rRNA
Rfam family: Bacterial large subunit ribosomal RNA
Source: RNAcentral